UCCAGACUCCUACGGGAGGCAGCAGUGGGGAAUAUUGCACAAUGGGGGAAACCCUGAUGCAGCGACGCCGCGUGAGUGAAGAAGUAAUUCGUUACGUAAAGCUCUAUCAGCAGGGAAGAGAGUGACGGUACCUGACUAAGAAGCCCCGGCUAACUACGUGCCAGCAGCCGCGGUAAUACGUAGGGGGCAAGCGUUAUCCGGAUUUACUGGGUGUAAAGGGAGCGUAGACGGUUAUGCAAGUCUGGAGUGAAAGGCGGGGGCUCAACCCCCGGACUGCUCUGGAAACUGUAGAACUAGAGUGCAGGAGGGGUAAGUGGAAUUCCUAGUGUAGCGGUGAAAUGCGUAGAUAUUAGGAGGAACACCAGUGGCGAAGGCGGCUUACUGGACUGUAACUGACGUUGAGGCUCGAAAGCGUGGGGAGCAAACAGGAUUAGAUACCCGCGUACC
RNAcentral lists this ribosomal RNA (447 nucleotides) under uncultured bacterium. RNAcentral describes it as "bacterial SSU rRNA". It matches the Rfam family "Bacterial small subunit ribosomal RNA", at positions 330 to 794 of the family's 1533-position model. The record is from RNAcentral.